Molecule: ribosomal RNA, 254 nt
Filed under: uncultured bacterium
Lineage: Bacteria
Description: partial 16S ribosomal RNA
Rfam family: Bacterial small subunit ribosomal RNA
Source: RNAcentral
UACAGAGGUCUCGAGCGUUGUUCGGAUUCAUUGGGCGUAAAGGGUGCGUAGGUGGCGUGGUAAGUCUGGUGUGAAAUCCCGGGGCUCAACCCCGGAACUGCACUGGAUACUGCCAUGCUUGAGUACUGGAGAGGAGAUUGGAAUUUACGGUGUAGCAGUGAAAUGCGUAGAUAUCGUAAGGGAAGACCAGUGGCGAAGGCGAAUCUCUGGACAGUUACUGACACUGAGGCACGAAGGCCAGGGGAGCAAACGGG